Molecule: non-coding RNA, 441 nt
Organism: Ciona intestinalis (vase tunicate)
Lineage: Eukaryota; Metazoa; Chordata; Ascidiacea; Phlebobranchia; Cionidae
Source: RefSeq, a predicted model, not a curated record
GCACCGGGACCGCAUAGUAUGAAGUUUUAAUUAAACUUUGAUAAUAAUUGUGGUUUGCUAAAAUCAGACUGGUUAACACAGUGGAAAGCUAUUGUUCUUUCAAACAUAGUUCCCAAGUGCUUGGUUGGUGAAAAAUAAAUCAGCUUUUAUAUGCCAACCUCUACAUAAGCAUAAAAUGGCUACAAAUGAUGAACACGUGAUACAAUACAAAGGCGAUCAUGAAGGACGUGUACUUACAAAGUUAAACAGGUUACGUAAAAGAAAAGUGUUUACUGAUGUCACGUUCAAAUUAGAUGAUGGAGAAGUUUCAGCUCAGAAAAGUAUUCUUGCUGGAUAUUCUGAUUAUUAUGAGAAAAUGUUCACAUCUGGGGUAAUGUACCAAUUGAUAUUUAUUGUGACAAUUCCCUUCAUAAAUGUUAAUCUGUUAAAGUAGAUUCUGUU